GUUUGGGUCUCGCGCAAGGGAGCCCCGCGAACCUCGUCAGGUCCGGAAGGAAGCAGCGAUAAGCGGAUCGUUCACUGUGCCGUGAGGUCGCCUGGGGGCU
RNAcentral lists this signal recognition particle RNA (100 nucleotides) under Pseudoselenomonas ruminantium. RNAcentral's name for it is "Selenomonas ruminantium (feces metagenome) signal recognition particle sRNA small type". It matches the Rfam family "Bacterial small signal recognition particle RNA". From Rfam's summary of the family: The signal recognition particle (SRP) is a universally conserved ribonucleoprotein involved in the co-translational targeting of proteins to membranes. Archaeal SRP consists of a 7S RNA and homologues of the eukaryotic SRP19 and SRP54 proteins. The record is from RNAcentral. Lineage: Bacteria; Bacillati; Bacillota; Negativicutes; Selenomonadales; Selenomonadaceae.